GUCUAAAUUUAGAUCCAUAUCCCUAUAUUUUCUGUCUAGAAAGUUCACAAAGUCUGACACAUGGAAAAGUACACAUUUCAACAUCCAUGCCUGAGUCCAAGUAACAUAUUUAUUGCUUUUUCUUAAGUUUAAUAAUUUAGGAUGAAUGAUAUCUAGUACAUUUAAUGUGUUUUAUAUGUGUGCACAAGUAAACAAAAGGAUACUUAUAAUUUUAUGUCUGGCCCCAAAAAAAUUACUAUCUAGCUCCUUCACUACAUGUAUCAUUAGUAACUCGACUUCAAAAUUUUAUAACAUUUUAGGCAUCUUGGCUAUUUUCUUUCAAAUUCCAAUUUUAUUCGACCUUUUAGAGUGGUAUGGUAAUAUUUAU
RNAcentral lists this unclassified non-coding RNA (367 nucleotides) under Hevea brasiliensis (rubber tree). Lineage: Eukaryota; Viridiplantae; Streptophyta; Magnoliopsida; Malpighiales; Euphorbiaceae. The record is from RNAcentral.